GUCGAGCUCGGUAGCGUGGGCUUAUAAUCCAUGUGGAGACAAUAGGAUGAUAGGACGUUGGGUCGAUCUCGUUGGGCCGGGUUUGUUGGGCUUAUUAUGGCCUGCCCGUUCCAGGUUAGGAGUUGAGGCAUGCGGCUUGAGCGAAGGCUUUAGUCACGUGUUUCUUAAAGUGGGGGAGACUGCGUGAGGUUGGUUUCACAGAGCAGCGUACACCUCCCGCUCUUGACGGUGGAAGGAUAACGGGCCUUCGCCUGCCGAGCCUUACUAUGACCCAAUAAGCUGAUUCCGAUUGGACCAAUUUUUUUUUUCAUUUUUUUCGUAUAAGCGAAUCAGUUUUACGUUUGCAGACAAGAAAAACACGUCUGAAUCACACAACUUGUUGUCGUCUGAAUCACGCAACUCUUUGAUUCACGGAGCAUAUGAAGUUUUACUAAAUUAAUUGAUAAAGAAAAUAGAAUGAUGCUCAUGUAUCAUGAAAGAGAGUUUAAAAUACAUUAAUACAAAUGUAGAAUGUGGUUAAAAAUUUAAAAAAAAAACACUAAAAAUUAUAGACUUCAGUAUAUUAUCUAUUUACUUAAAAACUGGGGAUUAACAUAUAGAUUUUGAGAAAAAAUAAAAAAAGAAGUCAAUAUUGUUUUAAUGCAUAGUUGUAUCAUGAACUAAUGUAUGAUGAUGGUGAGAGAGGUUUGGAACCUUUGUUUUCUCCGUUUCUCUAGAAUAGCGAUUUUAGUGUGGUUUGUCCACUGAUUUAGGGAGCAUAUGAAGUUUUACUAAAUUAAUUGAUAAAAAAUAGAUACCAUAAAAGAGAGCUUAGAAUACAUUAAUACAAAUUUAGAAUGUGGCUAGAAAUUUUAAAAUAACACUAAAGAUUAUAGGCUGCAAUAUAUAAAGUAUUUACCGAAAAACUGAAUAUUUUGUAGGAGUUAUCGGUUGGGGCUAUUUAUGGCAUGCCCAUUCCAAGUUGGGAGUUGAGGCAUGCAGCUUGAGCGAAGGCUUGGGUCACGUGUUUCUUAGAGUGGGGGAGACUGCGUGAGGCUGGUUUCACAGAGCAGCGUAAACCUCCCGCUCUUGACGGUGGAAGGAUAACGGGGG
This 1092-nucleotide long non-coding RNA is filed under the name Brassica rapa (field mustard). Its description in RNAcentral is "long non-coding RNA (BRAP_LNC003202)". The stretch from base 1 to 305 matches the Rfam family "Plant signal recognition particle RNA". The record is from RNAcentral. Lineage: Eukaryota; Viridiplantae; Streptophyta; Magnoliopsida; Brassicales; Brassicaceae.